GAACCUCCAUGGGUUACAGGUUAAGUCCUCAAACCAUGAACUGUAUCGUGAAGCGCCACAGCACCCAGGGAAAGAUCAAUUUUGAUGAUUAUGUUGCCUGCUGUGUCAAACUGAGAAGCCUGACUGAUAUAUUCCGCAGGAGAGACCAGGGACAAAAUGGAACUGCUAUGUUUCAGUAUGACGAUUUCAUCCAGUGCACUAUGAGCACCUGAGGGAAAUCUCUGGAACAAGGAAAAUCUGAUUUAUUUCAGCAUCACUGUUUGUCAUGAGCUUUUUUUUUUUUUAUACAAGUGCUUCUUUUUUAAACAUCUGCCCUAACUAAUAACAAACGAAACAACUAUUAUGUUUAACGGUUAUGUGCAUGUUUAUAAGGUUAAUACUUUUUGGAAUUUGAUUUGUUAAAUAAUUAAAUAUAUAUUAAAGGACCAAACCACUUAUAAAUGAACUGUGUAACCCAAAGCUUGUAUUUAAUGAUAAAAAAAAAAAAAAUCACAUCUUUGCUAUUGAUGGAUUUGUUUAUUGUAUGGAUGAGUUGGGGAAAAUAGUGCAGCUAGUGCUAUUAACCUGGGUUGCCAGUAAAUUUCCACCACAACUAGACAUCUCAGAUAUAUAAAACUAAUUUCAGACAUUGCAUGAGAAACGUAAGACCACUGUGGUGUACAUGUACUUCUGAUCAAAAUUAAACACUUGAUAAUCCCA
Molecule: long non-coding RNA, 699 nt
Organism: Silurus meridionalis
Lineage: Eukaryota; Metazoa; Chordata; Actinopteri; Siluriformes; Siluridae
Exons: 4
Source: RefSeq, a predicted model, not a curated record